CCUACGGGAGGCAGCAGUGAGGAAUAUUGGUCAAUGGCCGCAGGGCUGAACCAGCCAAGUCGCGUGAGGGAUGACGGUCCUAUGGAUUGUAAACCUCUUUUGUCAGGGAGCAAAGGGCGCCACGUGUGGCGCUUUGCGAGUACCUGAAGAAAAAGCAUCGGCUAACUCCGUGCCAGCAGCCGCGGUAAUACGGAGGAUGCGAGCGUUAUCCGGAUUUAUUGGGUUUAAAGGGUGCGCAGGCGGAAUGUCAAGUCAGCGGUAAAAUUUCGGGGCUCAACCUCGGCGCUACCGCCAAAACUAGUAGACGAGAGUGCAGGAGGGGUAAGUGGAAUGCCGAGUGUAGCGGUGGAAUGCGUAGAUAUUAGGAGGAACAUCAGGGGCGAAGGCGACUUACUGGACUGUAACUGACACUGAGGCACGAAAGCGUGGGGAGCAAACAGGAUUAGAUACCCGGGUAGUC
RNAcentral lists this ribosomal RNA (460 nucleotides) under uncultured bacterium. RNAcentral describes it as "partial 16S ribosomal RNA". It matches the Rfam family "Bacterial small subunit ribosomal RNA", at positions 338 to 795 of the family's 1533-position model. The record is from RNAcentral.